AGCGCAACCCUUGUCCUUAGUUACCAGCACGUUAUGGUGGGCACUCUAAGGAGACUGCCGGUGACAAACCGGAGGAAGGUGGGGAUGACGUCAAGUCAUCAUGGCCCUUACGGCCUGGGCUCACACGUGCUACAAUGGUCGGUACAAAGGGUUGCCAAGCCGCGAGGUGGAGCUAAUCCCAUAAAACCGAUCGUAGUCCGGAUCGCAGUCUGCAACUCGACUGCGUGAAGUCGGAAUCGCUAGUAAUCGUGAAUCAGAAUGUCACGGUGAAUACGUUCCCGGGCCUU
This 287-nucleotide ribosomal RNA is filed under the name uncultured Pseudomonas sp. RNAcentral's name for it is "partial 16S ribosomal RNA". It matches the Rfam family "Bacterial small subunit ribosomal RNA", at positions 1095 to 1382 of the family's 1533-position model. Lineage: Bacteria; Pseudomonadati; Pseudomonadota; Gammaproteobacteria; Pseudomonadales; Pseudomonadaceae. The record is from RNAcentral.